Molecule: unclassified non-coding RNA, 338 nt
Filed under: soil metagenome
Description: partial contains 5.8S ribosomal RNA, internal transcribed spacer 2, and large subunit ribosomal RNA
Rfam family: 5.8S ribosomal RNA (bases 1-120)
Source: RNAcentral
GAUGAAGAACGCAGCGAAAUGCGAUAAGUAAUGUGAAUUGCAGAAUUCAGUGAAUCAUCGAAUCUUUGAACGCACAUUGCGCCCGCCAGUAUUCUGGCGGGCAUGCCUGUCUGAGCGUCAUUUCAACCCUCAAGCAACUUCUGCUUGGUGUUGGGGAUCGGCCGUUAAACGCCGCCCCCGAAAUCUAUUGGCGAUCUCGCUGUGGCUUCCUAUGCGUAGUAGUAACAUCUCGCAUCUGGAGAGCGGCGCGGUCAUGCCGUAAAACACCCAACUUCUCAGGUUGACCUCAGAUCAGGUAGGAAUACCCGCUGAACUUAAGCAUAUCAAUAAGCGGAGGA